RNAcentral lists this transfer RNA (85 nucleotides) under Sphingobacteriales bacterium. RNAcentral describes it as "tRNA-Leu". It matches the Rfam family "tRNA". Rfam says of the family: Transfer RNA (tRNA) molecules are approximately 80 nucleotides in length. Their secondary structure includes four short double-helical elements and three loops (D, anti-codon, and T loops). Lineage: Bacteria; Pseudomonadati; Bacteroidota; Sphingobacteriia; Sphingobacteriales. The record is from RNAcentral. RNAcentral also lists the same sequence under 1 other name.
GCUCUGGUGGUGGAAUGGUAGACACGCAGGACUUAAAAUCCUGUGGACCUUAAAGUCCGUGCGGGUUCGAGUCCCGCCCGGAGUA